CGUGUAGGCGGAUUUUCAAGUCAAAUGUGAAACCCGGCAGCUUAACUGCCGGCCUGCAUUUGAAACUGGGAAUCUUGAGUACGGGAGAGGAAAGCGGAAUUCCUGGUGUAGCGGUGAAAUGCGUAGAUAUCAGGAGGAACACCGGUGGCGAAGGCGGCUUUCUGGCCCGAUACUGACGCUGAGGCGCGAAGGCUAGGGGAGCAAACA
Molecule: ribosomal RNA, 207 nt
Filed under: uncultured bacterium
Lineage: Bacteria
Description: partial 16S ribosomal RNA
Rfam family: Bacterial small subunit ribosomal RNA
Source: RNAcentral